RNAcentral lists this ribosomal RNA (434 nucleotides) under Cherax quinquecarinatus. RNAcentral describes it as "partial 16S ribosomal RNA". It matches the Rfam family "Archaeal large subunit ribosomal RNA", at positions 2011 to 2644 of the family's 2987-position model. Lineage: Eukaryota; Metazoa; Arthropoda; Malacostraca; Decapoda; Parastacidae. The record is from RNAcentral.
CGGUAUUAUGACCGUGCGAAGGUAGCAUAAUCAUUAGUCUUUUAAUUGGAGGCUGGAAUGAAUGGUUGGACGAGAAAUAAACUGUCUUUGUCUUAAAAAUUGAAUUUAACUUUUAAGUGAGAGGGCUUAAAUGGAUUAAAGGGACGAUAAGACCCUGUAAAGUUUAUACAUUAAAUUAAUUAAAAAUAAUUAAGGAGAUUAAAAUUUAUUAUUGGGGAGGUGUUUAGUUGGGGCGACUAGGAUAUAAUUUAAUUAUAACUGUCUUAGAUUAAGGUCAAAGAUAUUUGAGUUUAUGAUCCUUUUUUAGGAUUCAAGAACAAGUUACUUCAGGGAUAACAGCGUAAUUUUUUUUGAGAGUUCUUAUCGACAAAAGAGUUUGCGACCUCGAUGUUGAAUUAAAAGUUUCUCUGAAGUGCAGCAAUUUCAGGAGAAGG